This 320-nucleotide ribosomal RNA is filed under the name uncultured eukaryote. RNAcentral describes it as "partial 18S ribosomal RNA". It matches the Rfam family "Eukaryotic small subunit ribosomal RNA", at positions 1470 to 1796 of the family's 1831-position model. The record is from RNAcentral.
CCCCCAGAUGUUCUGGGCCGCACGCGCGCUACACUGAACAGUUCAACAAGUCUUAACCUUGGCCGAUAGGUCUGGGUAAUCUUUGAACGCUGUUCGUGACUGGGAUAGACCUUUGCAAUUAUGGGUCUUCAACGAGGAAUUCCUAGUAAACGCAAGUCAUCAGCUUGCAUUGAUUACGUCCCUGCCCUUUGUACACACCGCCCGUCGCACCUACCGAUUGAAUGGUCCGGUGAAAUCUCGGGACGGCGGCUUGGUCGCUUGCGUCCGACUGCUGAAACUUGAUUAAACCAUAUCAUUUAGAGGAAGGUGAAGUCGUAACA